UGCCAGCCGCCGCGGUAAUACGAAGGGAGCUAGCGUUGUUCGGAAUUGCUGGGCGUAAAGCGCACGUAGGCGGAUUAUUAAGUUAGGGGUGAAAUCCCAGGGCUCAACCCUGGAACUGCCCUUAAUACUGGUAAUCUAGAGAUCGAGAGAGGUGAGUGGAAUUCCGAGUGUAGAGGUGAAAUUCGUAGAUAUUCGGAGGAACACCAGUGGCGAAGGCGGCUCACUGGCUCGAUACUGACGCUGAGGUGCGAAAGCGUGGGGAGCAAACAGGAUUAGAUA
RNAcentral lists this ribosomal RNA (279 nucleotides) under uncultured bacterium. Its description in RNAcentral is "partial 16S ribosomal RNA". It matches the Rfam family "Bacterial small subunit ribosomal RNA", at positions 506 to 784 of the family's 1533-position model. The record is from RNAcentral.